GGAGAGAAAAAAAACCAACCCGCGCUCUCGUAAACAUCUGUCGGAUAGGUGCUUGCAAUUUAACUUACACGACAAUGUAAACAAUCUUUGCCUGGAUGCGGAUAGGACUUUUCGACUUUUUAUAAAUUUUGAAUGUUUUUUUAUGUUUAUGUUUGCCAAAGAAGUGUCAAAAUCUUGGUGUAGGCUAAUUAUUUAGCGUUCAAGUAAGUUUUUCUAUUAAAAUACAGAGUAGAUUCCAAAUCCGACAAUUCGGGCGCCCAUUUGCAGUAGUGGCGGUCCUUGUAAAGAUCCCGAAUUGACAGAGAAUCCUUCGCCAAAUAAUGUAAUCCGGUGGCGGAUGGACGCUUGUUCGUAAUUCCAACGUCAAAAUAGAACCUGCAGCAGUCAUAUUCAAACCUAAACCUGGCGGGUGGUAAUCGAGUCGGAGAUACCUCCAGCAACAACUCCACUAGCAACAGUUCUACGAUCGCGGAGCCCAAGUCGACGGUAGCGGCAGCGGCCGCGUCCUACGAAUCGUGUUUUUGGUGGAAGUAGCAGUGGAAGCUCGAAAGUUCAAGCACGAGUGGCGGAGGUGGAGGCAGCACUACGAAUACGACCAGUAACAACAACAGCAGAGGUCCGGUAGUAACUGUUGGAGCAGCUGUAAUGGCGGCCACGGCUGGUACGCCAAACUAGCCGAUCUGUCGCGAAUCUUUUGCGAGGUCAUGCACCACUUCCGGUUAGACUUAUUUCCCAUGCCCAGGUGAACCAGCAGAAGUCCAACUCACUAAGCCCAAGGUCGCCAAAAUCAUCGCUUGUCCAAACAUCCAACAAGAGUUUUUGGAGUGCACGACACGCUUGGACGAGCAACUGCUCAAUGCUCAACAUUGAAGACUCGGAGAAUGAAACCAUGUCGGAGUGCGUCGAUGGAACCUACCCCACGCUGGACGAGAGUCGCUCGAGACGUUUAUCUCGGAAGACGUUUUGGUGGUGGCGGCAGAUGGAUCGCGGGAUACCAACUACAACUACGAGUGGGGAGUGUAUCGACGAGGUAAUCCACGCGCUCAACGGCUGCACCGACAUCCCGAUUGCCCUGCCGGUACGCAAGUCAACACUGUAAAAAUAUUAAGCUAAUCGAAGUCAAUCUUAGCAGCUAGGACGCGUACGCGUACGCGAAUCUCAUCGCUAUGAACUCGUUCUGCAAGGACGCGCUGGGUUGGCAACCAGCACCGGUCGACGACGAGCAGGCGUGAGUUUCGGCAGGCAGUGGCCGCGGAUGUUGCAUUAGCAAGCGUAGCGCCAAAAAACCUACUAAACGAAAAUGUUGGCGGAAAACCGAGACGCACCCAGCAGAGACGAGGAGAUUGACAAGCGUGAGACGUUGCCGCCGUAGUAGAACUGGAUAGCAGGACCGGGCCGCGUCACAGACACGUGGUCGAAGCGCGCAACGACUUGAUGCAUCCCGAAGAGGGACAUGAACGGGAUUCGAAGCAGUACGAUUUUAUUAGAAAUUUAGGCAUCACCUACCUACUACAGUAGUUGUUCGGUAACUGGGCUGAGAACGUAGCCCAGUCAUCGAAUGCUGUUCGCUAACUGGGCUGAACGAAAAAUAACGAGGGGACUACCGAUGCAUAAUAUUUAUUUG
Long non-coding RNA from Culex quinquefasciatus (southern house mosquito), 1624 nucleotides. RefSeq lists it as uncharacterized. The transcript is spliced from 3 exons. The record is from RefSeq and is a predicted model, not a curated record. NCBI's taxonomy places the organism in Eukaryota, Metazoa, Arthropoda, Insecta, Diptera, Culicidae.